UGCGUAGGUGGCAAGCGAUGUCCGGAAUUAUUGGGCGUAAAGCGCGCGCAGGCGGUUAUGUAAGUCUGAUGUUAAAGCCCCUGGCUCAACUUCGGUUCGCAUUGGAAACUGUGUAACUUGAGUGCAGAAGAGGAAAGUGGUAUUCCACGUGUAGCGGUGAAAUGCGUAGAUAUGUGGAGGAACACCAGUGGCGAAGGCGACUUUCUGGUCUGUAACUGACGCUGAGGCGCGAAAGCGUGGGGAGCUAACAGG
RNAcentral lists this ribosomal RNA (252 nucleotides) under uncultured bacterium. RNAcentral describes it as "partial 16S ribosomal RNA". It matches the Rfam family "Bacterial small subunit ribosomal RNA", at positions 524 to 776 of the family's 1533-position model. The record is from RNAcentral.